RNAcentral lists this ribosomal RNA (701 nucleotides) under Staphylococcus aureus. RNAcentral describes it as "bacterial SSU rRNA". It matches the Rfam family "Bacterial small subunit ribosomal RNA", at positions 225 to 917 of the family's 1533-position model. Lineage: Bacteria; Bacillati; Bacillota; Bacilli; Caryophanales; Staphylococcaceae. The record is from RNAcentral.
AUGGAUCCGCGCUGCAUUAGCUAGUUGGUAAGGUAACGGCUUACCAAGGCAACGAUGCAUAGCCGACCUGAGAGGGUGAUCGGCCACACUGGAACUGAGACACGGUCCAGACUCCUACGGGAGGCAGCAGUAGGGAAUCUUCCGCAAUGGGCGAAAGCCUGACGGAGCAACGCCGCGUGAGUGAUGAAGGUCUUCGGAUCGUAAAACUCUGUUAUUAGGGAAGAACAUAUGUGUAAGUAACUGUGCACAUCUUGACGGUACCUAAUCAGAAAGCCACGGCUAACUACGUGCCAGCAGCCGCGGUAAUACGUAGGUGGCAAGCGUUAUCCGGAAUUAUUGGGCGUAAAGCGCGCGUAGGCGGUUUUUUAAGUCUGAUGUGAAAGCCCACGGCUCAACCGUGGAGGGUCAUUGGAAACUGGAAAACUUGAGUGCAGAAGAGGAAAGUGGAAUUCCAUGUGUAGCGGUGAAAUGCGCAGAGAUAUGGAGGAACACCAGUGGCGAAGGCGACUUUCUGGUCUGUAACUGACGCUGAUGUGCGAAAGCGUGGGGAUCAAACAGGAUUAGAUACCCUGGUAGUCCACGCCGUAAACGAUGAGUGCUAAGUGUUAGGGGGUUUCCGCCCCUUAGUGCUGCAGCUAACGCAUUAAGCACUCCGCCUGGGGAGUACGACCGCAAGGUUGAAACUCAAAGGAAUUGACGGG